This is a long non-coding RNA of Procambarus clarkii (red swamp crayfish), 422 nucleotides long. RefSeq lists it as uncharacterized. Lineage: Eukaryota; Metazoa; Arthropoda; Malacostraca; Decapoda; Cambaridae. The record is from RefSeq and is a predicted model, not a curated record.
AGUACACAUAUCCUUGAAUUCAUCCAUUCCUUAUUCAUUCUCAAAGUCAAAAUAUACUAUGAAAGAAAACUAUGUUAAUUUAUAAGCUCUUAUUUUUAAAGAUGAAAUGUGAUAAAGACUAAUCUAAUCAUACACUGUACCUGUAUCUCUUAUCAAUUACUUAAAUGUCUUGUGUAAGAAACAGGAAGUCACAAACACACAGUAACCAUUUGACACUUCAUAAUCCACACUUAUAAGAAGAGCUGAGUAGGCGGCCAGACGCUUGCAGCUAGCAGCACCCAACUUUCCAACAUGAAACAUGGGGGGUAUGGGAGUGUCACAGGUCAGUCGGGGUCGAUCCCAGUGCCACACUUUAGGAAAUAUCAGCAUCUUUAGUGCCCCUUGCAAUUGUCAUGGUAUGAAAUAAAAUCUGGGGAUGUGUU